GCUGGCGUAGCUCAAUGGUAGAGCGCCUGAUUUGUAAUCAGGGGGUUGCGGGUUCGAGUCCCAUCGCCAGCGCCA
This 75-nucleotide transfer RNA is filed under the name Deltaproteobacteria bacterium. Its description in RNAcentral is "tRNA-Thr". It matches the Rfam family "tRNA". From Rfam's summary of the family: Transfer RNA (tRNA) molecules are approximately 80 nucleotides in length. The record is from RNAcentral. Lineage: Bacteria; Pseudomonadati; Myxococcota; Myxococcia.